AUCCCAGUGCCCCUCGUGCCCUGGGCCGAUUCCCUCUCCCCCGCUCCCGCAACCUGGCUUCCCUGCUGAGGGGCUUGGGUUUCUUCCUCCAGAAAAGAGGGGCCGGAGGAGGACUUGAAAACAGGGGUGUCGUUUUCAGAUUUGCGUGUUAGGAAGGUCCCGGUGGCUCCUGCGAGGAGGAGGGACUGUAGCGGCGGAACUGGAGCUGAGGACGAAGUUCCGAGGCUGUCGGUACAUGGCAGGUGAGAGCUGAGGCCUGAACUAGAGCCGCGGCAGCGGGGAGGACAGGAGUGGAUUGAGAUUUUGGGGGAGGUGAAUGCAAUGCAGUGACUAGAUUGGGGGUGAGGGUGAGGGUGAGGAAGUCGUCUGGGGUGACUCCCAAGUUUCUGGCUUGGACAACGAAAUGGGUGGAGUGCGUGAAGGGGGAGCGCCAAAGUCAGCUUUGGACUUGCCUGAGUUUAAGGUGCCUGCGGGACACGGCCCACCUGAAGCUUAGGCUCCACAGACCGUGGAGUCGCAAGAAUGUAGUGGAAGCUGACGCCUUGAGGCAUAAACAUCUCAUGAAACAACCCAACUUCAGACGUUUUUCAUAGUGUCCCUUUACCCAGCAGUGGCGAUGGAUCAGAAGGGUAUGGACAAGCUUUCUUGGGUUUUUGGUGCUCCUUGUCAUAUCCUAACCAGAGACCCGGGCAGCCAGAGGCAGGAAACCCAGAAUGGAGAUGAUGCUUUCUAUGCUGCUAUGCCCAUCAAUGAAAUAAAUAAUGUAGAAAAGAGAACCCUGCUUAUACUUAGCUCUGCAUCUAUAAAUAAAACUCUAUAAAUUGUU
This is a long non-coding RNA of Myotis lucifugus (little brown bat), 826 nucleotides long. RefSeq lists it as uncharacterized. The record is from RefSeq and is a predicted model, not a curated record. NCBI's taxonomy places the organism in Eukaryota, Metazoa, Chordata, Mammalia, Chiroptera, Vespertilionidae. The transcript is spliced from 2 exons.